GUUUAGUAUAAUGCCUUGAGAACGUGUUUCCAACAGACUAUAUACCGGGGACCUGUAAGAUCGUUCGGCUUUGAAACUUGUCCGAGCCUCUUUCUUAUUUCAGGGUAAGACACUAACAGAAUAGGGAGUCUCAACCAGUGAGCACAUCCCCGAAGGUGAGAAGUGAAUGGUUUCGUAGCAGUUCAUAUGUACAGUUCAGAUAAUAUCAAAGCAGUAAAACAUGUGGCAUUUAGCACAAAACAUGUAAGCAAA
RNAcentral lists this long non-coding RNA (252 nucleotides) under Nicotiana benthamiana. RNAcentral's name for it is "long non-coding RNA (NBEN_LNC034350)". Lineage: Eukaryota; Viridiplantae; Streptophyta; Magnoliopsida; Solanales; Solanaceae. The record is from RNAcentral.